GAAUCUGCCUGUGGGUCGGGGACAACCACUGGAAACGGUGGCUAAUACCGGAUGAGCCGAAAGGUAAAAAAUUUAUUGCCCACAGAUGAGCUCGCGUCUGAUUAGCUAGUUGGUAAGGUAAAAGCGUACCAAGGCGACGAUCAGUAGCUGGUCUGAGAGGAUGAGCAGCCACACUGGGACUGAGACACGGCCCAGACUCCUACGGGAGGCAGCAGUGGGGAAUUUUCCGCAAUGGGCGAAAGCCUGACGGAGCAAGACCGCGUGGGGGAGGAAGGUUUUUGGAUCGUAAACCCCCUUUGUUAAGGAAGAAGUUCUGACGGUACUUGACGAAUAAGCCUCGGCUAACUCCGUGCCAGCAGCCGCGGUAAUACGGAGGAGGCAAGCGUUAUCCGGAAUGAUUGGGCGUAAAGCGUCUGUAGGUGGCCAGCUAAGUCUGCUGUUAAAGAUCACAGCUCAACUGUGGGAAGGCAGUGGAAACUGGCAAGCUAGAGGCUGGUAGGGGUAAAGGGAAUUCCCGGUGUAGCGGUAAAAUGCGUAGAUAUCGGGAAGAACACCGGUGGCGAAAGCGCUUUACUGGGCCAGACCUGACACUGAAGGACGAAAGCUAGGGGAGCGAAAGGGAUUAGAUACCCCUGUAGUC
This 640-nucleotide ribosomal RNA is filed under the name uncultured cyanobacterium. Its description in RNAcentral is "bacterial SSU rRNA". It matches the Rfam family "Bacterial small subunit ribosomal RNA", at positions 122 to 795 of the family's 1533-position model. Lineage: Bacteria; Bacillati; Cyanobacteriota. The record is from RNAcentral.